CCUACGAGAGGCAGCAGUGGGGGAUAUUGCACAAUGGGGGGAACCCUGAUGCAGCGACGCCGCGUGGGUGAAGGAGCGUUUCGGCGCGUAAAGCCCUAUCGGCAGGGAAGAAGGAGGACGGUACCUGACUAAGAAGCCCCGGCUAACUACGUGCCAGCAGCCGCGGGAAUACGUAGGGGGCAAGCGUUAUCCGGAUUUACUGGGUGUAAAGGGGGCGCAGACGGCAGCGCAAGCCAGGAGUGAAAGGCCGGGGCCCAACCCCGGGACUGCUCUUGGAACUGCGCGGCUGGAGUGCAGGAGGGGCAGGCGGAAUUCCUGGUGUAGCGGUGAAAUGCGUAGAUAUCAGGAGGAACACCGGUGGCGAAGGCGGCCUGCUGGACUGCGACUGACGUUGAGGCCCGAAAGCGUGGGGAGCAAACAGGAUUAGAUACCCGAGUAGUC
This 441-nucleotide ribosomal RNA is filed under the name uncultured bacterium. RNAcentral describes it as "partial 16S ribosomal RNA". It matches the Rfam family "Bacterial small subunit ribosomal RNA", at positions 338 to 795 of the family's 1533-position model. The record is from RNAcentral.